UAGCUCAGUUGGUUAGAGCGUGGUGCUAAUAACGCCAAGGUCGCGGGUUCGAUCCCCGUACGGGCCAGUACUUUUUGCCCGUCCCGCUUCCGAUUCCGGCGGUCCCGCUCCAGCCAAGCGCCCGCGGGAACGCGGCACCCACUGACGGGAGAGGCCCGGGACGGGUGGGGAGGACACGCAAAACAGCCGAACAACUGCCGAUAAAAGACGUGAUGGGGGGAGGAAAUACGUGGAGGGAGGUUGUAAGUCUUUCCGUAGCUCAUCACCGAAGUGUUCCAUGUUUUUCCCCGCGACGGUUUGUUCAAGUGCUUCUGUUAAUUAGCGCUACAAGAAAGCUUGCAGGAAUUCAGAAGGUCUCCCCUUCCAUAGGUUGUUGAACAGGAGAAUGACUUCCAAAACUAUGAUUCUUCAUUGAACUCUUUCACUGCAGCAUCUGUAUUUGCUUUGAAUGGAUUCAGGACACCAAGCAACCAGGGCACUCAGCUUGUUCUGGCUGAUUUUUUUGCCAUCCCCAUUACUUCUUUGUGGUAUCCUCAAGCUUUAU
Molecule: long non-coding RNA, 544 nt
Organism: Motacilla alba alba
Lineage: Eukaryota; Metazoa; Chordata; Aves; Passeriformes; Motacillidae
Exons: 3
Source: RefSeq, a predicted model, not a curated record